UUCCACUCGUCAUUGGGGUA
RNAcentral lists this unclassified non-coding RNA (20 nucleotides) under Chlamydomonas reinhardtii. RNAcentral's name for it is "small RNA Cre_3796". The record is from RNAcentral. Lineage: Eukaryota; Viridiplantae; Chlorophyta; Chlorophyceae; Chlamydomonadales; Chlamydomonadaceae.